UGGGGAAUUUUCCGCAAUGGGCGAAAGCCUGACGGAGCAAUGCCGCGUGGAGGUGGAAGGCCUACGGGUCGUCAACUUCUUUUCUCGGAGAAGAAACAAUGACGGUAUCUGAGGAAUAAGCAUCGGCUAACUACGUGCCAG
This 141-nucleotide ribosomal RNA is filed under the name uncultured bacterium. RNAcentral describes it as "partial 16S rRNA". It matches the Rfam family "Bacterial small subunit ribosomal RNA", at positions 355 to 511 of the family's 1533-position model. The record is from RNAcentral.